UACAGAGGUCCCAAGCGUUGUUCGGAUUCACUGGGCGUAAAGGGUGCGUAGGUGGUCGGGUAAGUCUGACGUGAAAUCUCCGGGCCCAACUUGGAAACUGCGUUGGAUACUAUCCGGCUCGAGGAAUGGAGGGGAGACUGGAAUACUUGGUGUAGCAGUGAAAUGCGUAGAUAUCAAGUGGAACACCAGUGGCGAAGGCGAGUCUCUGGACAUUUCCUGACGCUGAGGCACGAAAGCCAGGGGAGCAAACGGG
RNAcentral lists this ribosomal RNA (253 nucleotides) under uncultured bacterium. Its description in RNAcentral is "partial 16S ribosomal RNA". It matches the Rfam family "Bacterial small subunit ribosomal RNA", at positions 524 to 776 of the family's 1533-position model. The record is from RNAcentral.